This 464-nucleotide ribosomal RNA is filed under the name uncultured bacterium. RNAcentral describes it as "partial 16S ribosomal RNA". It matches the Rfam family "Bacterial small subunit ribosomal RNA", at positions 29 to 507 of the family's 1533-position model. The record is from RNAcentral.
ACGAACGCUGGCGGCGUGCUUAACACAUGCAAGUCGAACGGAAAGGCCCCUUCGGGGGUACUCGAGUGGCGACCGGGUGAGUAACACGUGAGUAACCUGCCCUUGACUUCGGGAUAACUUCAGGAAACUGGGGCUAAUACCGGAUAGGAAUCCUUGCUGCAUGGUGGGGGUUGGAAAGCUUCGGCGGUUUUGGAUGGACUCGCGGCUUAUCAGCUUGUUGGUGGGGUAGUGGCUUACCAAGGCUUUGACGGGUAGCCGGCCUGAGAGGGCGACCGGCCACAUUGGGACUGAGAUACGGCCCAGACUCCUACGGGAGGCAGCAGUGGGGAAUAUUGCACAAUGGGCGGAAGCCUGAUGCAGCAACGCCGCGUGCGGGAUGACGGCCUUCGGGUUGUAAACCGCUUUCAGCAGGGGCGAAGCUUGUGGUGACGGUACCUGCAGAAGAAGCACCGGCUAACUACGUG